UUUUGGACAAUGGGCGAAAGCCUGAUCCAGCAAUGCCGCGUGCAGGAAGAAGGCCUUCGGGUUGUAAACUGCUUUUGUACGGAACGAAACGGUCUGCCCUAAUACGGCGGGCUAAUGACGGUACCGUAAGAAUAAGCACCGGCUAACUACGCGCCAGCAGCCGCGGUAAUACGUAGGGUGCGAGCGUUAAUCGGAAUUACUGGGCGUAAAGCGUGCGCAGGCGGUUAUGUAAGACAGUUGUGAAAUCCCCGGGCUCAACCUGGGAAUUGCAUCUAUGACUGCAUAGCUAGAGUACGGUAGAGGGGGAUGGAAUUCCGCGUGUAGCAGUGAAAUGCGUAGAUAUGCGGAGGAACACCGAUGGCGAAGGCAAUCCCCUGGAGCCUGUACUGACGCUCAUGCACGAAG
RNAcentral lists this ribosomal RNA (405 nucleotides) under uncultured bacterium. RNAcentral's name for it is "bacterial SSU rRNA". It matches the Rfam family "Bacterial small subunit ribosomal RNA", at positions 362 to 758 of the family's 1533-position model. The record is from RNAcentral.